AUUUGGGGCGCGCGGAGCUGGGGGGUCCCUGUGGGGCGCCCAGAGUUAAGAUGGCGUCCUCAGCGGAGGGGGACGAGGGGACUGUGGUGGCGCUGGCGGGGGUUCUGCAGUCGGGUUUCCAGGAGCUGAGCCUUAACAAGUUGGCGACGUCCCUGGGCGCGUCAGAACAGGCGCUGCGGCUGAUCAUCUCCAUCUUCCUGGGCCUACCUUCUGGCUGGAUAUUAUUACACAGCCACCGGCAACUACGAUAUCAAGUGGACAAUGCCACAUUGUGUUCUGACUUUGAAGCUGAUUGGUGAGUGAUGGUCACUGCCUGCCUUCCUUACAUGUAGGUCCCUCCCCCAUCUCACUAAAAACUUCCUCGGCACCCCCCCCGCCAUACACUUCUGGCUGCACUCAGUCUACAGGCCACAUCCUCAGUGUCCUCUCCCACCACCCUACCCACCCGUUCUCUCUCUGCUCAGGUUUGGCUGUUGACUACUUUGACGGAGGGAAAGAUCAGGUAAGUACCCAUUCAUCCGCAGAGAGGUUCAAGACUUAAUGAAAGGGAAGAAA
This 555-nucleotide small RNA is filed under the name Pongo abelii (Sumatran orangutan). RNAcentral's name for it is "processed transcript". The record is from RNAcentral. Lineage: Eukaryota; Metazoa; Chordata; Mammalia; Primates; Hominidae.